CUGAGGCGCGCGACCUGCGGACACCUGUUGAUUGAUGACGUCACGGCUAAUUGCUCGCUCUUUUUUACUCGGGUAUGAGCGACAGCUUACAAGAUUUAUCAAGAGUUGGCUGCACUCUGACCGCUCCCACUCCCGCUGCCGCACACUGCCAUCAUGGAGGACUCCUCAGAGUCCGGCCGCCCCCCUGCUCCACCCACUCCUCUGGGCGGAGGCCCCCCGGUGAGCAUCGCCCCCACUCCCACGCUUCCCUGCGGCGGGUUGUUAUUGUUGUUGCUGCCGGCGUAGCACGGAGGGAUGUAUCCCAAACCGGAGGCAGCGACCAUGCUGUCCUGGGAGGCCGGGGCCUGGGGCAACUGUUGCUGGGAAGCGGAAGGGGGCUGCUGGGGGGCCAUGACUGUCCUAGUCCGAAAGGCAGAGAGGCCCAGGUGGAGGUUGGAGGAGCCGUACUGACUGGAGUCCAAGCUCGACGGGGGCGGCUGCAUGAUGGAAGACUGACCCAGGUGGUGGUGGUGGGUGAGGCUGAGCUCGAUGCUGUCCUGCAUCUGCGGGGAGGAGACGGGCAUCAGCGCUGUGCCCUGCUGGCCCUGCGAGGCCUGGCCCUGCGGCUGGUUCUGCUGCUGCUGCUGCUGUCGAAGCUGUCUGCCGUUGCUGUGGUGGCUGCCGUAGAUGGGGUGAGGGUGGUGCGGCUCCAUCAUGCCCCCGAUGUUGCCCAGGAAGUGGCGCGAGUGCUGCGUGGCCGCCGGCUUGUGCAACAGCAGCUGCGGGUAGGAGGAGUCGCUGCCGCUGU
RNAcentral lists this long non-coding RNA (787 nucleotides) under Danio rerio (zebrafish). Its description in RNAcentral is "si:ch211-225p5.12 (ENSDARG00000092955.2)". The record is from RNAcentral. Lineage: Eukaryota; Metazoa; Chordata; Actinopteri; Cypriniformes; Danionidae.